GUGCCAUUUAUACUCAUGCUGUCCCCGAGCUCCAGCUGUGCACACUUCCUUACCUGCCUGUCUAACUGGUGUCUAAACAUUUGCAUCUCCAGAAUGACUCCUGACCUGCCCCACAAUAUCUGCCUUAGGCAUCCACAUCUGAGGACGGCAACUCCCUUCUCAUUCUUCCAAUCUCUGAGGCCAACAUUGGGAGGCAUGACUGACUACUUUUCUUUCCUCUCAAACCCCCAUCUAUUCAGCACAUUCAGUUGGCUUUACUUUCAAAAGAUAUAACCUGAAUGUGACCACUUCUUGUCACUUCCACUCUGCCACUCAGGUCUAACCGCCAUCUUACCUCACCUGGGUUGUCACCUCCUCCCUGGCCUCCCUGCCUGCCCUAGAUUCCAAACACAAAUCUAGUGAGAAGAGCCUGUGAAAAUGUGAGCCACUCUCGGCCCCAAGCCCUCCAAUGGCCAGGAAAUGGCAGAGUUUUACAGUGGCCGAAAGCCCUCUGUGAUUGCCUACUCCAUGACCUCAUUGGUUUCUCUUUCUGAUUUUCUCACCCUUGUUCCCUCAGUGGGGUCACACAGCCUUCCCUGGUGUCCCUGCAGUAUGCUAUCCUGCUGCUACCUUAGGGCUUUUCUGCUCGCCGUCACUCUGGGGAAAGGCUCAGCCCCCAAGGAUCCCAUGCCUUCUUUUCUUCCUUCCAUCAGAUCUGCACUCAGAUGUCACCUUGGUGGUGAAUUCUUCCCUGGUCAUCCUGUUUAAAAUUGCCACGCCUCUCCCACACUUCCUAGUUCUUAUUCCAUCUUUUUCUUUCUAGCACUUAGCAACCUGUAACAUGCCAUGCAUUUUACUUGUCAUUUGUGUUUGUGUCACCCCACUGGAGGGUGGGUUCUUUGCCAGCGUCUGCUGGGUUUGCCCACUGCUUAGAACUGUUUCUGGUGCAUAGUCGGUACAAAACAAAUAUUCCUUGAGUGACUGUAGGGAAGAAGCUUUCACAAAACAGAAAAGUGUAAUUAAUUGCCCAUUUCAGCCUCCUCAACUCUAGGCUUCAUUUAAAAUUUCAAGUUCUUGUGUAAUCCAAAAGAGAACAAAACUGAAUUAAACAUUGCCUCAAAUGAUAUCUGGUUUCCAAGGACAUAUAGGUGAAAUUAUAAUUUAGGUUGCUGUGGAUAUGCUUAUACAUAUAAAAUAUUUAUGACAAAUAUAGUAUUUGUACAAGAAAAUUACUAUGGAUUUGCAAAUCGAUUCAUAUAAAAUUAAUUUUCUUAUGGGACAUUAAAUAUAAGUAACUUUAAAUUUUCUGAAUUAUAUUUACUUAAAAAUAUCACUGGCAAUAUCUUUGAGGGUUACUAUUUUUUUGGAUGAAAUUUGUGACAAUGAUUCCUCCUUUGGCUUCUUCAGCAAUAUGUUAAAACUGGCAUGGAAACUUUGAAUAGCUUUUGAAUUUUUGCCUUGUUUGAAAUUUAACAAUUACUGAUGUAAUCAAUACCAUAUGGUACAAAUUUUGAAUUCUGCAUGACUUGUAUUUCAAAAUGAUGGCUAUUGCCUUCAUUCUACUUUACGUUUAACACGAGUAUUUGGAAAACCUGAGUAGUGAGUAUUCUGGUUAGUAGAACGAUUAUUUACUCCAGGUAAAAGGGAGGAUUCAUUUCUUUAUCUUGGAAGUCUCUAAAAUACAUACUGAUACAUUUCCAUCCCAAGUUAACAAGUCUCUUAAGAAGAGAUUUUGCUGGUGGCAGGGACGGGGGAAGGGGCGGCAGGCGCCAUGUCCGGCCGCGAAGGUGGCAAGAAGAAGUCCCUGAAACAGCCCAAGAAGCAGGCCAAGGAGAUGGACGAGGAAGAUCAGGCUUCAAGCAGAAACAAAAAGAAGAGCAGAAGAAACUCAAGGAACCAAAAGCGAACGCUGCGGGAAGGGCCCCCUGACCACAAGUGGAAUUAAGAAAUCUGGCAAAAAGUAAGCUGCUCCUGGUCCCUGAGGAGAUGGUGACCCUUUAUUUCAUCCAUGUUUAAACAUCUGUAUUCCCUGCCAUAGCAUCUUUUGCUACCUACAGCUGGAAUUAAGUGUUGUCUUAGAGCUGCUGUACAUUUAAGAAUAAACUUUUGUAAAAAAAAAAAAAAAAAAUCUGACAGUAGCUCAUCAAUUCUUUUGUUGUUUUCACUAAGUCAUUCCUACCAUAACUGUGAAUUUAAAGUAAAACCAACUCAGAAUCUUGCCAGAGUCUGCUCUUUGGUCCGCGUUCUACCCUAACCUUGGUAUCACCUGGAAUUAAACCAAUUCGUUUGAAAGGAAAAAAAAA
Cebus imitator (Panamanian white-faced capuchin) is the source of this 2282-nucleotide RNA transcript. It is a transcript of the gene named translation machinery-associated protein 7-like, with no coding region annotated. NCBI's taxonomy places the organism in Eukaryota, Metazoa, Chordata, Mammalia, Primates, Cebidae. The record is from RefSeq and is a predicted model, not a curated record. The transcript has a single exon.